This 910-nucleotide ribosomal RNA is filed under the name marine metagenome. Its description in RNAcentral is "bacterial SSU rRNA". It matches the Rfam family "Bacterial small subunit ribosomal RNA", at positions 8 to 920 of the family's 1533-position model. The record is from RNAcentral.
AGAGUUUGAUCCUGGCUCAGGAUGAACGCUAGCGGCAGGCCUAAUACAUGCAAGUCGAACGGUAGACAUCUUUCGGGAUGUUGAGAGUGGCGCACGGGUGCGUAACACGUAUGCAACCUACCUUUUACAGGGGGAUAGCCCGGAGAAAUUCGGAUUAAUACCCCAUGGUACUAUUGAAUGGCAUCAUGAGAUAGUUAAAGAUUUAUCGGUAAGAGAUGGGCAUGCGUCUGAUUAGCUAGUUGGCGGUGUAACGGACCACCAAGGCGACGAUCAGUAGGGGUUCUGAGAGGAAGGUCCCCCACACUGGCACUGAGAUACGGGCCAGACUCCUACGGGAGGCAGCAGUAGGGAAUAUUGGGCAAUGGGCGAGAGCCUGACCCAGCCAUGCCGCGUGCAGGAAGACGGCCUAUUGGGUUGUAAACUGCUUUUAUCUGGGAAGAAAAGGCCCAUGCGUGGGACAUUGCCGGUACCAGAUGAAUAAGCACCGGCUAACUCCGUGCCAGCAGCCGCGGUAAUACGGAGGGUGCAAGCGUUGUCCGGAUUUAUUGGGUUUAAAGGGUGCGUAGGCGGCUGAUUAAGUCAGCGGUGAAAGACUCCGGCUUAACCGGGGCAGUGCCGUUGAUACUGGUCAGCUUGAGUGCUGCAGGGGUACAUGGAAUUGAUGGUGUAGCGGUGAAAUGCAUAGAUACCAUCAGGAACACCGAUAGCGAAGGCAUUGUACUGGGCAGCAACUGACGCUGAUGCACGAAAGCAUGGGUAGCGAACAGGAUUAGAUACCCUGGUAGUCCAUGCCGUAAACGAUGAUUACUCGCUGUUAUGUCUUUAUGAUGUAGCGGCCAAGCGAAAGCGUUAAGUAAUCCACCUGGGGAGUACGCCGGCAACGGUGAAACUCAAAGGAAUUGACGGGGGU